CUGAUUCGAAUAAAAGAUGUGGAUAUUGGUUUCUCAUCUGGCUCUCGACUUCCCACCUCAUCUCCUCCAUUCGAGCAUUCUUCCACAACACUUUCACCAUUGGAAUGCUCUUGUUCCUUAGCACUCGAUCCUUUCGAUCUAGAAUACGUACAGGCUUCACCUCGAACUUCAAAUCCUCAUGCAACUCAAUGGGAGGUGUCUCUAAACUGUGAGAGGGAUCGGGAACAUACUUUUUCAACAUCGAGACGUGGAAGACAUUAUGAAUCCGAUCUAACUCUGGGGGUAAUUCAAGUCUGUAAGCCACUGGCCCAAUCCUUUC
RNAcentral lists this long non-coding RNA (319 nucleotides) under Theobroma cacao (cacao). Its description in RNAcentral is "long non-coding RNA (TCAC_LNC001802)". Lineage: Eukaryota; Viridiplantae; Streptophyta; Magnoliopsida; Malvales; Malvaceae. The record is from RNAcentral.